UAUCAGCCUAGAGAGUUCUUUCUUGC
This 26-nucleotide non-coding RNA is filed under the name Mus musculus (house mouse). Lineage: Eukaryota; Metazoa; Chordata; Mammalia; Rodentia; Muridae. The record is from RNAcentral.